This 446-nucleotide ribosomal RNA is filed under the name uncultured bacterium. RNAcentral describes it as "partial 16S ribosomal RNA". It matches the Rfam family "Bacterial small subunit ribosomal RNA", at positions 338 to 795 of the family's 1533-position model. The record is from RNAcentral.
CCUACGGGUGGCAUCAGUCGAGAAUCAUUCACAAUGGGGGAAACCCUGAUGGUGCGACGCCGCGUGGGGGAAUGAAGGUCUUCGGAUUGUAAACCCCUGUCAUGUGGGAGCAAAUCAAAAAGAGAGUACCACAAGAGGAAGAGCCGGCUAACUCUGUGCCAGCAGCUGCGGUAAUACAGAGGUCUCAAGCGUUGUUCGGAAUCACUGGGCGUAAAGCGUGCGGAGGCUGUUUCGUAAGUCCUGUGUGAAAGGGGCGGGCUCAACCCGCGGACGGCACAUGAUACUGCGAGACUAGAGUAAUGGAGGGGGAACCGGAAUUCUCGGUGUAGCAGUGAAAUGCGUAGAUAUCGAGAGGAACUCUCGUGGCGAAGGCAGGUUCCUGGACAUUAACUGACGCUGAGGCACGAAGGCCAGGGGAGCGAAAGGGAUUAGAUACCCGGGUAGUC